UCUCCGUAGGUGAACCUGCGGAGGGAUCAUUACAGAGUUCGUGCCCUCACGGGUAGAUCUCCCACCCUGUGUUAUUAUACCUUUGUUGCUUUGGCGGGCCGCCCUCGACUACCGGCCCCGGCUGGUACGCGCCCGCCAGAGGACCCCAAACUCUGAAUGUUAGUGUCGUCUGAGUACUAUACAAUAGUUAAAACUUUCAACAACGGAUCUCUUGGUUCUG
Molecule: unclassified non-coding RNA, 220 nt
Filed under: plant metagenome
Description: partial contains small subunit ribosomal RNA, internal transcribed spacer 1, and 5.8S ribosomal RNA
Source: RNAcentral